AUUGAACGCUGGCGGCAGGCCUAACACAUGCAAGUCGAACGGUAACAGGAAACAGCUUGCUGUUUCGCUGACGAGUGGCGGACGGGUGAGUAAUGUCUGGGAAACUGCCUGAUGGAGGGGGAUAACUACUGGAAACGAUAGCUAAUACCGCAUAACGUCGCAAGACCAAAGAGGGGGACCUUCGGGCCUCUUGCCAUCGGAUGUGCCCAGAUGGGAUUAGCUAGUAGGUGGGGUAACGGCUCACCUAGGCGACGAUCCCUAGCUGGUCUGAGAGGAUGACCAGCCACACUGGAACUGAGACACGGUCCAGACUCCUACGGGAGGCAGCAGUGGGGAAUAUUGCACAAUGGGCGCAAGCCUGAUGCAGCCAUGCCGCGUGUAUGAAGAAGGCCUUCGGGUUGUAAAGUACUUUCAGCGGGGAUGAAGGGAGUAAAGUUAAUACCUUGGCUCAUUGACGUUACCCGCAGAAGAAGCACCGGCUAACUCCGUG
RNAcentral lists this ribosomal RNA (490 nucleotides) under uncultured bacterium. RNAcentral describes it as "partial 16S ribosomal RNA". It matches the Rfam family "Bacterial small subunit ribosomal RNA", at positions 30 to 507 of the family's 1533-position model. The record is from RNAcentral.